This 323-nucleotide long non-coding RNA is filed under the name Amborella trichopoda. Its description in RNAcentral is "long non-coding RNA (ATRI_LNC002012)". The record is from RNAcentral. Lineage: Eukaryota; Viridiplantae; Streptophyta; Magnoliopsida; Amborellales; Amborellaceae.
CCAAAAAUCCAUGCGGAUCGGUGAAUUGACGGUCCAGAUCGUGAAUCGACCGAAUCGGUUGGAUUAAGCUUUAAAAAAAUCUAAAAAACUUUACUAAAAUUCAUUAUAAAUGUCGUUUUUUAAUAAUCCAAUAAGAAAUCGGGGUACUCCAUUAUUAAUUUUCAUGUUUUCAUCAAUAUGUGAAUAUUGAAAAGUUUUUUUUCGGUAUGAACUUAUUUUGACUAUUAAAUUUACAUCACACAAAAAAAAAAUCACGAAUUAUCAUGGAUGAAAUAUAUAAGCAUAGAUGGACUAUAAUAAAGAAUGAUUUUAAUCGAUAAAAA